Molecule: transfer RNA, 70 nt
Filed under: Tessmannella kiplingi
Lineage: Eukaryota; Metazoa; Arthropoda; Insecta; Hymenoptera; Liopteridae
Description: tRNA-Gln
Source: RNAcentral
UAUAUAUAAGUGUUUAAGCACAAAAAUUUUUGAAAUUUUUAGUUUUAGAAUAUAUUUCUAUAAUAUAUAU